CAGUCGCCGCGGGAAUACAGAGGAUGCAAGCGUUAUCCGGAAUGAUUGGGCGUAAAGCGUCUGUAGGUGGCUUUUCAAGUCCGUCGUCAAAUCCCAGGGCUCAACCCUGGACAGGCGGUGGAAACUACCAAGCUAGAGUACGGUAGGGGCAGAGGGAAUUUCCGGUGGAGCGGUGAAAUGCGUUGAGAUCGAAAAGAACACCAACGGCGAAAGCACUCUGCUGGGCCGACGUUGACACUGAGAGACGAACGCUAGGGGAGAAAAUGGGAUUAGAUACCCGUGUAGUCCCUGUCUCUUAUAA
RNAcentral lists this ribosomal RNA (301 nucleotides) under uncultured bacterium. RNAcentral describes it as "partial 16S ribosomal RNA". It matches the Rfam family "Bacterial small subunit ribosomal RNA", at positions 509 to 809 of the family's 1533-position model. The record is from RNAcentral.